AUUGAACGCUGGCGGCAGGCCUAACACAUGCAAGUCGAGCGGAUGAAGGGAGCUUGCUCCUGGAUUCAGCUGCCGACGGGCGAGUAAUGCCUAGGAAUCUGCCUGGCAGUUGGGGAUGACGUCCGGACACGGGCGCUAAUACCGCAUACGUCCUGAGGGAGAAAGGGGGGGAUCUUCGGACCUCACGCUAUCAGAUGAGCCUAGGUCGGAUUAGCUAGUUGGUGGGGUAAAGGCCUACCAAGGCGACGAUCCGUAACUGGUCUGAGAGGAUGAUCAGUCACACUGGAACUGAGACACGGUCCAGACUCCUACGGGAGGCAGCAGUGGGGAAUAUUGGACAAUGGGCGAAAGCCUGAUCCAGCCAUGCCGCGUGUGUGAAGAAGGUCUUCGGAUUGUAAAGCACUUUUAGUUGGGAAGAAGAGCAGUAAGUUAAUACCUUGCUGUUUUGACGGUACCAACAGAAUAAGCACCGGCUAACUUCGUG
This 484-nucleotide ribosomal RNA is filed under the name uncultured bacterium. Its description in RNAcentral is "partial 16S ribosomal RNA". It matches the Rfam family "Bacterial small subunit ribosomal RNA", at positions 30 to 507 of the family's 1533-position model. The record is from RNAcentral.